ACACCCAUCAAGCCUGGCUUGGUAUUGGGCGUCGGGGAUUCCCCGCGCCCCGAUUUCGCCGGCUGGACGACCCCGAUCUCUCAAGCGUUGUACAAUCUCGCUGGGCAGGCGGGCGGCCACGCCGUUAACCCCAAUCAAACA
RNAcentral lists this unclassified non-coding RNA (141 nucleotides) under uncultured Devriesia. RNAcentral's name for it is "sequence contains ITS2". The record is from RNAcentral. Lineage: Eukaryota; Fungi; Ascomycota; Dothideomycetes; Mycosphaerellales; Teratosphaeriaceae.